Molecule: non-coding RNA, 31 nt
Filed under: Rattus norvegicus (Norway rat)
Lineage: Eukaryota; Metazoa; Chordata; Mammalia; Rodentia; Muridae
Source: RNAcentral
UCAGAGACCCUUCCCAAAGAGGGACCUGGGA